This 447-nucleotide ribosomal RNA is filed under the name uncultured bacterium. RNAcentral describes it as "bacterial SSU rRNA". It matches the Rfam family "Bacterial small subunit ribosomal RNA", at positions 355 to 825 of the family's 1533-position model. The record is from RNAcentral.
UCGGGAAUUUUGGGCAAUGGGCGAAAGCCUGACCCAGCAACGCCGCGUGAAGGAUGAAGUCUCUCGGGAUGUAAACUUCGUAAGAAUAGGAAGAAUAAAUGACGGUACUAUUUGUAAGGUCCGGCUAACUACGUGCCAGCAGCCGCGGUAAUACGUAGGGACCAAGCGUUGUUCGGAUUUACUGGGCGUAAAGGGCGCGUAGGCGGCGUGGUAAGUCACUUGUGAAAUCUCCGAGCUUAACUCGGAACGGUCAAGUGAUACUGCUGUGCUAGAGUACAGAAGGGGCAAUCGGAAUUCUUGGUGUAGCGGUGAAAUGCGUAGAUAUUGGGAAGAACACCAGUGGCGAAGGCGGCUAACUGGUCCGGUACUGACGCUGAGGUGCGAAAGCGUGGGGAGCAAACAGGAUUAGAUACCCCAGUAGUCCCUGAGCGGGCUGGCAAGGCGCAU